UGUUUGUUUCAUUUGUAUGUGGCUCUGUUUCCUGUGGACUGUAGUCAGAUAGAGUAAAGUAGCUCUUUUAGGUUGUUUCACAGUCUUACAUAGGAGAAGAUCAGGAACGUUUCGUUGUUCCUAUAAAUUGUUUGCAGAGUGCUUGCUUCCUUGAAUUGCUGAAGGAAGCAGGGGAGGUUUAUGGGUUUGAUAAAAAGCGGGCCUCUCAAGCUCCGCUGUAGUGUGGAUCGUUUUCAUAAGGUUUUGCAGUCAAUCUAGAAAGAGAGAGAAAAUUUACAGAAAACCCGGCAAUUUACAGAGUAUAUCAGCUGUCAAAUUUGUGCCAUUUCUGAAUUGUGUAUAGCCAGUUAGCAGAAACUGCAAAUGUCAUUGCAAGCAUGACUGAGAUUGUGCAUGAGAGAUUUCGAUUGAGUAGAUGGUUAUGCAGUUGCACUUGGGCUCUGGCAAUGGACAGAGGCGUAAAUAUGGUGACAAUUAAUGUAGGUCUGGUUGUAGGGCCUGGCUUUGCAUACAAAACCUCAGGACCCACCAUAACAUAUCUCAUAGUGGCAGACUGUAGUGCGAGAGAGUGUGAUGGCUUCAACCCGCCGAGGGUUUGUCCACAAGAAGUCCUAUAUUUCCUCAUCAGAAUGUGCAAUGUUCAGCUCAUCAGACGCCCUCACAGAGGAUUUCCUGGUGACCUUGAUGUGACUGCAUUCUACACUCUGAUAUAGCUCAGCACACUUACUGGAAUUUGGCAGGUCAUAACAGUGGAUGUAUACUUGGGGUAUUCUUUCUCAUCCUCCUCAUAUUCUGAAGCAACUGACAAAGAGGAAGGAGAUUGGCUGAUAGCAUCUAAUAUUGAUUCAGGAACAUGAACGCCAAUACCUUUUUUGCAGGAUUUCCUGGUGAUCUUGAUGUGACUGCAUUCUACACUCUGAUAUAGCUCAGCACACUUACUGGAAUUUGGCAGGUCAUAACAGUGGAUGUAUACUUGGGGUAUUCUUUCUCAUCCUCCUCAUAUUCUGAAGCAACUGACAAAGAGGAAGGAGAUUGGCUGAUAGCAUCUAAUAUUGAUUCAGGAACAUGAGCGCCAAUACCCCAUUCCUCAGCUGGAUAGGCUCAAUGGCCUGUAGCAUCCUUUUUACUAGGAAUAUGUAUAAAUCUGUCUACUUUCGGUGGCCUGCUAACAAAGGUGGACACAAUUUAGGGAUAAAAUCGUAUGCUAUCAAGUGCAGAUGGAAAAUUGGAAAUGGAUCCAUGGGCAAUAUUUUACCCUAGACAGGAAGUAACCAAAGAAAUCGAGUCUAACAAUCCAUUUGUCCAAAUAUGACUGAAAUAGAAGCUAUACAUGCAGUUGCAAGUAGUCAAGGCUUUUCCAAAGGCAUGAUAAUUGGAGAAGAUGAAAGUCACAAAAUGGAAAAGGAAACAUUUCUGCAUGGUAUAUCGUCUGAUGAUCGAGUCACUCGGCAGUCCUCUAACGUAGGCAAUCUUGGGAAGUAGAACUUGGGUUUUGAUGCAAAUAAAGAAGAAAUUACAAAAGGAGAAAUGUUGGAAGAGUUUUUUCAAUCUGAAGAGACAUCAAAGAAAAAAGAAGCUUAAGAAGCAACAGCUGCAAAAUCCAGUGGCCAUACAAAUGGAGAGUUGCAGGAUGAACAGCAGGAGAAUUCUAAAGUAAUUGCUGACAAGUUGUAUGAAUCCAAACUGAAAAGGGAGAAUAAUUUAAUUGAUGACAAGGAAUACAGUGCAUACAAAUGGUUGCAGGAUUGUAUAUACUCAUUGAUAUUAUAAGAAAUGCUAAAACUUGUUAGCUAAAAGUUUCAAUGUUUUCAUUUGUUCUCGACUUUUACUACAGCAAAAGAGGAUGCCAUCCUACCAACGUUUGACACAUUCCAGAUCUCUGAAAACUGGCAAUAGUUUACUUGCAACUAAGAGUUCAAUACAAAGUGGCAAGGACAGAGUUUUAGCAUUUACAAAUAAAGGAAGCAGAGCUGAGGUUGAGAAUGUUGAAGUCACAUCAGCUACAUCAAAGAGUGUCCACUUCAUAAGAAAAUAGGUCCUAAGGCAACAUCACACUGUUCCACAACCUUUUACACUGGCUACUGAUAAAAGGGCUUCAUUUGGCUCGCAACAAACUGGCAGUGAAGCAGCUCAGAAGCAUUAUAGGCGUUCUUGCUACAAGUAACGUGACAACUGACUUCCCCUGUCGCUGGAAAAAAGCAGUUGACUGCAAAAUCUGCUAAAGGAGUUUCAGAAACCAAAAUCUCUCAUUCCCUUGUACACAAGUCAUUCAAGACAACUUUGGGGUUCACAGAUAAUUCCAGUAGAUUUGCAUGGAACCAACCACUUCUGAUUUUAGAAAUGAGAGGAUUAUUGGAAGCACAAUUGAUAAAGUUCCCAGAGGAUAUGAUCAUAAUUAUGUCCUCAAUUGUGGUGAAACAAAGAAUGGUCUGAAGCAUGCUGUGAAAAUUAAUGAUCCUUCCAGUAGAGAGGAGCUAUAUACUGAUCAAUUAUGCAGAUCUACUUCAAUAACAUUUCGAUCAGCUUGCAAUAUUGAAAACAUGGGAUGCUGAUAAUGUCUGGAUCUGGUUCAAGCAUUUGAUGUACCAGAGGCAGUAUAGUCAUAAAUAUAUUUGCAUGUAUGUAGAGUGAUGCUAGAGUAUCUCAAUAGUUAUUGCAGUCAAUGCAAAAUCAAUUUUAAUUUUACAGAUGUACUUUUGAAUUAAAUUGAUCAACUAUUUUGUAAAUUGAUAUGUCAAUAGAUUUGUUGUUUAAUAUAAAUUUUUUUAUUUGGGAGGGGUUGAAUUUGCCCCCUCCUUUAGGUUGGAGGGAA
Long non-coding RNA from Cryptomeria japonica (Japanese cedar), 2812 nucleotides. RefSeq lists it as uncharacterized. The record is from RefSeq and is a predicted model, not a curated record. The transcript is spliced from 8 exons. Lineage: Eukaryota; Viridiplantae; Streptophyta; Pinopsida; Cupressales; Cupressaceae.